GAGGAGCUCAGAUGCAAUGAGAGAGAAUGGGAAUCACAGCUCAUUAGGUCGCUGCCUGAGCAUGGUGUGAGGUGCCCCUCCCAGCUGGCUCCUAUACCUUUCCAGAAUUAUUGUCAGAGAUCGAUUGGGAGGGGAUCCCACGUGAUGCCAGUUGGAAGUUCAGGUACUCUGGGAGUGACCAUUUCCUUCAGUGAGAAUCUAAUGCCUCACGGUGGCCUGCCAAGUUCCCGUGGAGUCUCAGUGAUGGCCCAUAGCAGUGCCCCAGCAAUGCCUUAUCCUAUGCCUCCAACAGUACCUGCCACCACGGGCUCUUUA
Molecule: long non-coding RNA, 315 nt
Filed under: Mus musculus (house mouse)
Lineage: Eukaryota; Metazoa; Chordata; Mammalia; Rodentia; Muridae
Description: long non-coding RNA chr3:68901829-68902144
Source: RNAcentral